RNAcentral lists this ribosomal RNA (276 nucleotides) under uncultured bacterium. Its description in RNAcentral is "partial 16S ribosomal RNA". It matches the Rfam family "Bacterial small subunit ribosomal RNA", at positions 82 to 354 of the family's 1533-position model. The record is from RNAcentral.
CUCCCGCCGGCGACCGGCGCACGGGUGGAGUAACACGUAUGAAACCUGCCCGUAGCAGGGGAUAAGCGGAAGAAAUUCCGUCUAAUACCGCGUAACAACCCGAGGAGGCAUCUCCUCGGGUUUAAAGGAAGCGAUUCCGGCUACGGAUGGUCAUGCGUCGCAUUAGCUAGUUGGCGGGGUAACGGCCCACCAAGGCGACGAUGCGUAGGGGUUCUGAGAGGAAGGUCCCCCACACUGGUACUGAGACACGGACCAGACUCCUACGGGAGGCAGCAG